UACGGGGGGAGCAAGCGUUGUUCGGAUUUACUGGGCGUAAAGGGCGCGUAGGCGGCCACCGCAAGUCAGUUGUGAAAUCUCUGGGCUUAACCCAGAAAGGUCAACUGAUACUGCGGGGCUAGAGUGCAGAAGGGGCAACUGGAAUUCUCGGUGUAGCGGUGAAAUGCGUAGAUAUCGAGAGGAACACCUGCGGCGAAGGCGGGUUGCUGGGCUGACACUGACGCUGAGGUGCGAAAGCGUGGGGAGCAAACAGG
Molecule: ribosomal RNA, 254 nt
Filed under: uncultured bacterium
Lineage: Bacteria
Description: partial 16S ribosomal RNA
Rfam family: Bacterial small subunit ribosomal RNA
Source: RNAcentral